CCAGCAGCAGCUCGGCUCAGCUAAUCGCCUCACCUUCGGACGGGACCAGCGCUAGCUAUAGCCUAGCUAGCCAGCGAGCGAUGGCGGGCAACAGGGCGGCCGGCGUCGUCCUCCUGGCGGUGGCCGCGCUCCUCGCCCUGGCGGCGGCGGAUGAUGAGCACCUGCACCACUGGAGGUGCUUCAGGUCGUGCGCGAGGGACUGCCGAGACGAGGACGCCGUUGACGACGGCGCCGGCGCCCUCAACAACGUCUCCGCCGGCGUCCCCCACAAGUGCAAGACCGGGUGCCUGCACGAGUGCUUCGAGGACCUGCCGGCACUCUGCUACCAGCAGUGCGUCGUCAGCACCUGCCUCUGCCUGCCGCCCUAUAGCAAGGAGAAGCUGGCGUGCAUGAAGAGCUGCUGCGACAAGUGCUUCCACCACGGCCCGCCUGCGCCCGGCCCCGGCCCGAAGCCCAAGCCGCCGCCGCCCAGCCCGAAGCCCCCUGCCCCGAAGCCGCCCAGCCCGCCGAAGCCGAAGCCACCAACGCCGAAGCCGAAGCCACCGUCGCCCAAGGGGCCGCUGCCGCCGAAGAAGCCGCCGUGUCCCCCCGGCCGCGAGACCGCGAACGCCAACAACUGAUACGGUGGGCCCGCCGCCGGCGAGGUGGCUGUGCAACACUGCAGCCUCCCUCAUGCGUUCCACACGGCACGCAAAUGGCGCUGCGUGUCCAACAGCACAAGCACACACUUAGCUCCAGCUCCAGCUCUUGCCGGCCGGCGGCGCGGUAUAUAUGCGACCAGCUGCGGCGCCGACCCACGCACCUCGUCGAGCUAGGUGCGGCAGCUCCACUUGGACGACGACCGGGGGCCGCUAGUAGGCCAGCAAUGGCGCGCUCCAAGGCGGUGCUGUUCGCCGCCCUCCUGGCCGUCGCCGCGCUCUCCUCCGCCGCGGCGCUGGGGGACUACGACCACCACGUGUACCGCCGGUGCUACAGGUCCUGCGUCAGGAGGUGCGACGACGACUACGACGAUGACGACGACGACGACCAUGACGACGCCUUCAAGAACGGCGUCAGCCCCCUCCGCGCCGCCGUGUCCGACGACCCCGACCACCGCGAUCGCGAUCAUGUCCACGAUCUUGACGACGACUGGGAUGACGAUGACGACGACUACUGGGAUGACGACGACGACGACGACGAUGACGACGAGUGCCGGGUGAGCUGCAGGGAUGACUGCACUGAAUACGUGCCCGGCGUCUGCUACCACCACUGCGUCUCUCACUCCUGCUUCUUCCUGCCACCGUAUAGCUACCGGAGAGUGGCAUGCUUCAGGGGAUGCGGCCGUCGAUGCUACCACCACGGCCACCAUCAUCACCACCACCACCACCACCAUGACGACGAUGACGAUGACGACGAAGAUGACAAACCGAAGCCAAGCCCUCCCAAACCUGGGCCGAAACCGACACCGCCCAAGCCACGACCAGGCCCCGUGCCGCCGAGCCCGGAGCCAAAGCCACCGGUGGCCGUGCCCAAGCCGGCACCGCCGAAUACACCGAAGCCAGCACCAAGGACUCCGAAGCCGCCAACGCCAACUCCGAGGACGCCCAAGCCGCCGCCGCCGCCCGGACAGAAGAAGCCCAAGCCGCCAGUGCCAGAGCCGAGGACACCCAAGCCGCCACUGCCUAAUCCAGGUCUGAGACCAUCAUCAGAGCCGCAGCCGCCGCGUGCGAUCGGGCCACUCGUCAACAAUUGAAGGAUACCAACACGUCCGAGACAACACCAGAUGAUUAAGUAGAGGUUGCAAAGGCGAUUACUGAUGGAUUGCUGUAUUUGGUAGUAAGAUGGGAGGAUUAUCUCGAUUGGUAGCUGUAGAUUGGGCAUGAACCUUACGUUGCAUAAGCCUACAUCUAUGGGUCCAGUCCUUGUCUGCAUGAUGUAACUAAAGUUCAUGUGUCAA
This is an RNA transcript of Panicum virgatum (switchgrass), 1936 nucleotides long. RefSeq lists it as uncharacterized. The record is from RefSeq and is a predicted model, not a curated record. The transcript has 4 exons. Lineage: Eukaryota; Viridiplantae; Streptophyta; Magnoliopsida; Poales; Poaceae.